ACGCUCGACACCUAUGGGAGGCGGCAGUAGGGAAUCUUCCACAAUGGGCGCAAGCCUGAUGGAGCAACACCGCGUGAGUGAAGAAGGGUUUCGGCUCGUAAAGCUCUGUUGUUGGAGAAGAACGUGCGUGAGAGUAACUGUUCACGCAGUGACGGUAUCCAACCAGAAAGUCACGGCUAACUACGUGCCAGCAGCCACGGUAAUCUGAGCGGGCUGGCGAAGGC
Molecule: ribosomal RNA, 224 nt
Filed under: uncultured bacterium
Lineage: Bacteria
Description: partial 16S ribosomal RNA
Rfam family: Bacterial small subunit ribosomal RNA
Source: RNAcentral